RNAcentral lists this small nuclear RNA (22 nucleotides) under Arabidopsis thaliana (thale cress). Its description in RNAcentral is "snRNA_08014". Lineage: Eukaryota; Viridiplantae; Streptophyta; Magnoliopsida; Brassicales; Brassicaceae. The record is from RNAcentral.
UACUUCUCGUGGGGAAAUAGAC